AUACGGAGGGUGCAAGCGUUACUCGGAAUCACUGGGCGUAGAGCGCGCGCAGGCGGCUAUUUAAGUUGGAUGUGAAAGCCUACGGCUCAACCGUAGAACUGCAUCCAAAACUAUUUAGCUAGAGUGUGGGAGAGGAAGAUGGAAUUAGUUGUGUAGGGGUAAAAUCCGUAGAGAUAACUAGGAAUACCAAAAGCGAAGGCAAUCUUCUGGAACACUACUGACGCUGAGGCGCGAAAGCGUGGGGAGCAAACGGGAUUAGAAACCCUAGUAGUCC
RNAcentral lists this ribosomal RNA (274 nucleotides) under uncultured bacterium. RNAcentral's name for it is "partial 16S ribosomal RNA". It matches the Rfam family "Bacterial small subunit ribosomal RNA", at positions 523 to 796 of the family's 1533-position model. The record is from RNAcentral.